AUUGAACGCUGGCGGCAUGCUUUACACAUGCAAGUCGAACGGCAGCACGGGCUUCGGCCUGGUGGCGAGUGGCGAACGGGUGAGUAAUGCAUCGGAACGUACCCAUUUGUGGGGGAUAACUACGCGAAAGCGUGGCUAAUACCGCAUACGCCCUACGGGGGAAAGCAGGGGAUCGUAAGACCUUGCGUUAAUGGAGCGGCCGAUAUCUGAUUAGCUUGUUGGUGAGGUAAAGGCUGACCAAGGCGACGAUCGGUAGCUGGUCUGAGAGGAUGAUCAGCCACACUGGAACUGAGACACGGUCCAGACUCCUACGGGAGGCAGCAGUGGGAAUAUUGGACAAUGGGCGCAAGCCUGAUCCAGCAAUUCCGCGUGGGUGAAGAAGGUCUUCGGAUUGUAAAGCCCUUUCGUUGGGGACGAUGAUGACGGUACCCAAAGAAGAAGACCCGGCUAACUUCGUG
This 458-nucleotide ribosomal RNA is filed under the name uncultured bacterium. RNAcentral describes it as "bacterial SSU rRNA". It matches the Rfam family "Bacterial small subunit ribosomal RNA", at positions 30 to 507 of the family's 1533-position model. The record is from RNAcentral.